Molecule: ribosomal RNA, 732 nt
Filed under: Bacillus subtilis
Lineage: Bacteria; Bacillati; Bacillota; Bacilli; Caryophanales; Bacillaceae
Description: bacterial SSU rRNA
Rfam family: Bacterial small subunit ribosomal RNA
Source: RNAcentral
GGAGCGGAAAAGCGUGGGGGAGCGAACAGGGAUUAGAUAACCCUGGUAGUCCACGCCCGUAAAACGAUGAGUGCUAAGUGUUAGGGGGUUUCCGCCCCUUAGUGCUGCAGCUAACGCAUUAAGCACUCCCGCCUGGGGAGUACGGUCGCAAGACUGAAACUCAAAGGAAUUGACGGGGGCCCGCACAAGCGGUGGAGCAUGUGGUUUAAUUUGAAGCAACGCGAAGAACCUUACCAGGUCUUGACAUCCUCUGACAAUCCUAGAGAUAGGACGUCCCCUUCGGGGGCAGAGUGACAGGUGGUGCAUGGUUGUCGUCAGCUCGUGUCGUGAGAUGUUGGGUUAAGUCCCGCAACGAGCGCAACCCUUGAUUUUAGUUGCCAGCAUUCAGUUGGGCACUUUAAGGUGACUGCCGGUGACAAACCGGAGGAAGGUGGGGAUGACGUCAAAUCAUCAUGCCCCUUAUGACCUGGGCUACACACGUGCUACAAUGGACAGAACAAAGGGCAGCGAAACCGCGAGGUUAAGCCAAUCCCACAAAUCUGUUCUCAGUUCGGAUCGCAGUCUGCAACUCGACUGCGUGAAGCUGGAAUCGCUAGUAAUCGCGGAUCAGCAUGCCGCGGUGAAUACGUUCCCGGGCCUUGUACACACCGCCCGUCACACCACGAGAGUUUGUAACACCCGAAGUCGGUGAGGUAACCUUUAGGAGCCAGCCGCUCUAAGUUAUCUUGUUCU